AACGAACGCUGGCGGCUUGCCUAACACAUGCAAGUCGAACGAGACCUUCGGGUCUAGUGGCGCACGGGUGCGUAACGCGUGGGAACCUGCCCUUAGGUUCGGAAUAACUCCCCGAAAGGGGUGCUAAUACCGGAUAAUGUCUUCGGACCAAAGAUUUAUCGCCUUUGGAUGGGCCCGCGUUGGAUUAGCUAGUUGGUAGGGUAAAAGCCUACCAAGGCGACGAUCCAUAGCUGGUCUGAGAGGAUGAUCAGCCACACUGGGACUGAGACACGGCCCAGACUCCGACGGGAGGCAGCAGUGGGGAAUAUUGGACAAUGGGCGAAAGCCUGAUCCAGCAAUGCCGCGUGAGUGAUGAAGGCCUUAGGGUUGUAAAGCUCUUUUACCCGGGAUGAUAAUGACAGUACCGGGAGAAUAAGCUCCGGCUAACUCCGU
This 432-nucleotide ribosomal RNA is filed under the name uncultured bacterium. RNAcentral describes it as "partial 16S ribosomal RNA". It matches the Rfam family "Bacterial small subunit ribosomal RNA", at positions 29 to 506 of the family's 1533-position model. The record is from RNAcentral.